CUUUCUUUGCUGGCGACCGGCGCACGGGUGAGUAACACGUAUCCAACCUGCCCUUUACUCGGGGAUAGCCUUUCGAAAGGAAGAUUAAUACCCGAUAGCAUAAUGAUUCCGCAUGGUUUCAUUAUUAAAGGAUUCCGGUAAAGGAUGGGGAUGCGUUCCAUUAGGUUGUUGGUGAGGUAACGGCUCACCAAGCCUUCGAUGGAUAGGGGUUCUGAGAGGAAGGUCCCCCACAUUGGAACUGAGACACGGUCCAA
RNAcentral lists this ribosomal RNA (254 nucleotides) under uncultured bacterium. RNAcentral's name for it is "partial 16S ribosomal RNA". It matches the Rfam family "Bacterial small subunit ribosomal RNA", at positions 79 to 334 of the family's 1533-position model. The record is from RNAcentral.